Molecule: ribosomal RNA, 425 nt
Filed under: Reticulitermes sp. ALS-2006c
Lineage: Eukaryota; Metazoa; Arthropoda; Insecta; Blattodea; Rhinotermitidae
Description: partial 16S ribosomal RNA
Rfam family: Bacterial large subunit ribosomal RNA
Source: RNAcentral
CGCCUGUUUAUCAAAAACAUCUUUUCUUGUUAGUUUUUGAAGUAUGGCCUGCCCGCUGACUUUAGUGUUGAAGGGCCGCGGUAUUUUGACCGUGCAAAGGUAGCAUAGUCAUUAGUUCUUUAAUUGUGAUCUGGUAUGAAUGGCUUGACGAGGCAUGGGCUGUCUUAAUUUUGAAUUGUUUAUUGAAUUUGGUCUUUGAGUUAAAAUUCUUAGAUGUUUUUAUGGGACGAGAAGACCCUAUAGAGUUUAACAUUUAUUAUGGUCCUUUUCUGUUUGUGAGGGCUCACUGGGCCGUCUAAUAUGUUUUGUUGGGGUGAUGGGAGGGAAUAAUUUAACCCCUCCUUUUUAUUAUUAUAUUUAUUUAUAUUUAUUUGAUCCAUUUAUUUUGAUUGUAAGAUUAAAUUACCUUAGGGAUAACAGCGUAA